Paramisgurnus dabryanus is the source of this 3027-nucleotide long non-coding RNA. RefSeq lists it as uncharacterized. NCBI's taxonomy places the organism in Eukaryota, Metazoa, Chordata, Actinopteri, Cypriniformes, Cobitidae. The record is from RefSeq and is a predicted model, not a curated record.
UUAGACAUUUCUGUAAUUUUUACAGUUAUUUACUGUAUAUCACCCAGUAUAAUACUGUAAACUAUUUAUACAGUACAUAACUGUAAUUCGCGUUGCAUUUUGGGAAUUUUCGGUGACAUCAUACAUCAUAUACAGUAAUCUACUUUAUUUUUGAAAAUUGCUGUAUGCUACUGUAUAUUUUCUAACAGUCUUUUGGCGGUAUUUUCCUUAUUCACACAAAUCCUUAUUUUAUUUUUCUCAAAAUCAUCAUUUUUGACAAUUGUAUACACACAGGCGUUGACUUAUUUUAGCUAAGGAACCAUGUAGCAGCACAGGUGUUCAGAGGACCGAUUUCAGGUGUGCACAUAAACUGAAGAGUUUUCAAACAAGACUUUAUGGCCUUUCCCUGGGACAGCGGCGCUUUUCAGUUGAAGAUACACGAGAGGAGAGACUGAAAAAAGACCAGCAAGGAGGAUGUAACAAAAUACACUGCAAGAACUGGAGUGAGGAUGAAGAGGACAACAGAAUAUCCAUCCUUUCUUGACCACCUCACAGAGUUUGAGUGAAACAACUUGUAUUAGGACUCACAGGAUUAUUUUAUACCAGAAGUAUGGUAUUUUUUUGAAGCUACUGUAUUAUUUCUUAUGACAAUUCAUUUUGAUGUGCAUUCAGAACUGUAAGUUGGUAAGUACAUUUACUGUAUUUACUGUAAGUAAAGGCUAAAGAGUAUAUCUCCUAUAGUUCUAAUUUCUAGUUCUAAGUUUUAACAACGUUCCCAAAGGUCCCGAUAAUGUUAAGCCAACAUAAAAGUGUCCAGUUUUUAAAUUGUUUAGGAAUGUUUCUUGAUUGUGCGAAUGUUAGAGGAAUGUUACAUUUUAUUUUCAGACAAUGUCAUGCUUAAAUGUACUCACAAUGUUUAAAACACAUGUUUAGUAUAUUUUAUGAAUGUUUAUAUGCAAUAUUUUAACAGAAAAUUAAGAAAUAAUCUUUUACAACAGUUUGUAAAUAAUAGAAUGUAAUGUUUUUUUUAUCAUUACAAGCAAAAACAAUCAUAACGUUAUUCGGAACUUUGGGAACUUUCAAGGAACAUUCUUAGACCUUUCUCUGUGGUUGAGCAUUGUGUUAGCAUCAUUAAACGCCAUGGGUUCAAACAAGGGAAUGCACAUGCUGAUAAAAAAUGUAUACUUUGCAUUGCACUGUAUGUUAUUUGCCUUUUUCUGUAAAUGUGAAGAUAAAUGUAAAGACAGACAUUGUUUCAUUUUAAACCAGUUCUAUUUUAAGAGAACUUAACUAGACUAAAUAAAAUGGUCACAAAAAAUUUAAUUUUGCUAUUAUGAUGCUGAUUUUGUGGUGUUAUGGGUUUUCUGGUUACAGUGGUAGUGGAUCAUGAUCACCUCUCUAGCUUCAAAAGUAGGAUGCAAAAUGUAUAACACCAAAUCAUUAUAGCAUAACUCCAUGUAACUUGACAUAAUUUAAAGUUGUCUAAAGGCAGACAUGAUUGCGUGUGAAGUCCUAUGCCAAAGACUCUCCAAAUACUGAAUCUACCCAUUCUUCCUGAUGUGUAUAUUUUGUUGGUAUGUCCUGGUUGUUGCAGACCUGACAGUAAACUUGACUGUGAGCAUCCUAUCCAUCAGGUAUAGCUGUUUACUUGCAUUACUCAUUUAGAGAAAUGACGGGUCAAAAUUGAUUAUAUGGAUUAUAUUUUCAUCACCCCUUUUUGUAUGUCUUUGGGACACUUGAGAUAUAGGCUCUGUUUACACGUACAUGGUUAUUUUUAAACACUGAGAGAUUUACCUUCAUUUGUGCCCCUCGUUUACACGCAAACGGAGAACUCGCCUCUGAAACCGAUUGUUUCUAAGAACUCCGGCCAGAGUGGAGAUCUUGAAAAUCUUCGGUUGCACGGUUGCAUGUAAAGUGAGACAAACGGAUGUUUAAGCAGGCAACGUCACAGAGUAUGCGCCAGAGCUCGCACCUACGUCAAAAGUGCGACCCAUGUUUACAUGUGACUGCUACUCUGAACACUUCCAAUAUCACAUUUAUGUUCGUGCAAACUCUUUUCGUGUGUUUGUAUUUGCAAAUACAGCUGCUCCAUUAUGUCGAGGAGCAGAGACGAGUGCUCUGAGGUCAGCAAUUUUACGCGUGUGUGACUUCAUGCGGCGCUGCAACGGAUGAUGUCAAAGUCCCGCGAGAGCGAUUCGAAAUUAGACCUCUACGUAUGAUUCCUCAACUCGCUCUCGCGGUACUUUGACGUCAUCGAUCACCUACUGCAACAACUCCUCCCUCCAACAUGAAGAACCAGUUCGCGUCACCACCAGCGCAGCCGGUGAUUGGCUUACGUGGGCUUGAGCUUCUCUUGACGGCAAAUAUGCACGGGUACGUGUAAAUAAACACUUUUCUGAAAACUGACAUGUGUGCACGAUAUUAUUUUUGAAACCGGAGAGGUUGAAAUGUCCGUUUAUGAAAAUAACCGCCCACGUGUAAACAUAGCCAUAUAGCAUGUAUAAUGUGGAGCCAUUUUAUAAUGCGGUCACAGACUACUCCCAUUGUAACUGGAAAACCAAAGAAAAUCAUUGUUUAAAUUAUAUAUAAUUUUUGGAUUAACUAAACCUGUAAUCAGUGAUAUAUGUAUGUAUGUUUAUAAUUUAUGUUAUUUUAAAUAUAUUAAAUGAAUUGUAAUUUCACACAACUUCUUAAAGUAUUUGUAUUGUUUUAAAUAAAGGCUUCAAUAUUUGAAAUUGUCUCUUUGAAUUAAAUGUUAGCAGUAUCUGUAGGUUAAAAUGUAAAAAUUAAUUUUAUCUAAAAAUUAUAGCUAAUUUAAAUAUAAUAAAAAUGAAUGUAUAAAAAAAUAAAAAGAAUAGUAGUAUGUUAUACAGUAGUAUACUGCAAACCUGGGUUUUUUACGGUAGCACACUGUAUUACAUAUUUACAGUAGCAUUUAAAUACUGUAAAAUGGAAAUACAGUUUAGAACUGUAAAUCUUAUUUACAGUAGCCUACUGGCAACAGUGUUGCCAGUAGGUUACUGUAAAAAUCCUUGAAAAUGUCUAACA